GAACAAUCUGAGGGCAUUUUGCCGGGAAAACCUUGGGUGGAAGACUAAAUAAAUUAGAUUUCGCUUUGAACGCCUGUAAGAAAUUGGAAUCUUGAUCACGUCAAGUCUAAGAAUCAUAAGCAAGGGGAUUUAUUCGGUCAUCGUUUUGGAUUCAACGCACAACUCCGGUUACAGAGUUAGAAUCGUCCCAGUCCUCUUUGCGUUUAAGCAUAUACAUAUAGAAGAAG
RNAcentral lists this unclassified non-coding RNA (227 nucleotides) under Hevea brasiliensis (rubber tree). Lineage: Eukaryota; Viridiplantae; Streptophyta; Magnoliopsida; Malpighiales; Euphorbiaceae. The record is from RNAcentral.